UCGAAGGCAUGUUCUUGCGGAACCUCGACCUCUGGCUCCAAAUGACGUCACCAGAGCAAGACCUUUGAGGAGAAGGGGGUGUGUGGACGAAGAGCGUUCAGUCGGAGUCUCACCUCUUCUGGACAGGUUGACUGAGCGGCGUGUCGGGCCUCCUCUUUCCAUCUUAUACGAGUCUAUUUGUCCAUCAAUGAACAAGUGACGAACCUAAGAGAAGAAAGAAAGAAGAGACAGACAAACAAACAAACCUCUCAGCCAGUAUCUCCAGAGGACUCCGUCCCUGUGCCCAGCCCUUCACCAUCCAGGCUGUGUCGAAGGCUGCCAGGAAACCCCGAGCACAGCCUGUACCCAUCGGCCAGAAGGGCUGCGACCAGAGAACACAAGAUCUUUUGGUGAUGAGGCCCGACGCUGGUGUGGAUGAGCUGUAAACAACAACACUGAUCUUUCCAAAGGAGAAUUUUUAAACGUCACGUCCCGCCUCCUGCUGCUCUACAGGCUCCACCCCUUGCCUGAAUGUUCCUGUUGUUGUGAACGAUUCUGACCCGGACAAUCUCCUGCUGCUGCUGCUUUAUGUGUGACGGACAAACUGGUUUUAUGCACAAGUAAAUGAGUGCAUUCGAA
Paralichthys olivaceus (Japanese flounder) is the source of this 618-nucleotide non-coding RNA. Lineage: Eukaryota; Metazoa; Chordata; Actinopteri; Pleuronectiformes; Paralichthyidae. The record is from RefSeq and is a predicted model, not a curated record.